GGAGAGGUGCCUGAGCGGCUUAAAGGGAUGGUUUCGAAAACCAUUGUAGAGAAAUCUACCGUGAGUUCGAAUCUCACCCUCUCCG
This 85-nucleotide transfer RNA is filed under the name Candidatus Parcubacteria bacterium. Its description in RNAcentral is "tRNA-Ser". It matches the Rfam family "tRNA". Rfam says of the family: Transfer RNA (tRNA) molecules are approximately 80 nucleotides in length. Their secondary structure includes four short double-helical elements and three loops (D, anti-codon, and T loops). Further hydrogen bonds mediate the characteristic L-shaped molecular structure. tRNAs have two regions of fundamental functional importance: the anti-codon, which is responsible for specific mRNA codon recognition, and the 3' end, to which the tRNAs corresponding amino acid is attached (by aminoacyl-tRNA synthetases). tRNAs cope with the degeneracy of the genetic code in two manners: having more than one tRNA (with a specific anti-codon) for a particular amino acid; and 'wobble' base-pairing, i.e. permitting non-standard base-pairing at the 3rd anti-codon position. Lineage: Bacteria; Candidatus Parcubacteria. The record is from RNAcentral.